This 337-nucleotide long non-coding RNA is filed under the name Olea europaea subsp. europaea. Lineage: Eukaryota; Viridiplantae; Streptophyta; Magnoliopsida; Lamiales; Oleaceae. The record is from RNAcentral.
UUGAAAUAGAAAAAUAACACUAUAAAUUGCUCUUUCUUAUUUGCUUAUUUGUGAGAUAUUUUUAUCUGAGAGAUAAAAAUAUUAAGCAAAAAUUCUAAUUUUUCUCGUUUUAAUUUCAAAUUUAAAUGUCAAAAAAACUUCGCAAAAGAUGGGUAGAUAAAUGAAAAUAAAAAUGCAUAUAGAACGAACAAAUAAUACUCAAUCAUCAAUCAACCCCUAAGAAAAAAAUCCCCUUUAUUUCUUUUUCGGUAAUGUAACGAAUAAAAGUCUAUGUAAGUACAAUAUGGCUAAAAAAAGUAGUAGUAAUUAAAAAGAAAAUAAAGGAGCAAUAACGCCC